GCCCCGAUGGUGAAACAGGUAGACACAGCGGACUUAAAAUCCGCCGCUUGCUGCAUAAGCGGCGUGCCGGUUCGAUUCCGGCUCGGGGCACCA
Molecule: transfer RNA, 93 nt
Filed under: Serpentinimonas raichei
Lineage: Bacteria; Pseudomonadati; Pseudomonadota; Betaproteobacteria; Burkholderiales; Comamonadaceae
Also listed under: 7 other names
Description: tRNA-Leu (TAA) (tRNA-Leu-TAA-1-1)
Rfam family: tRNA
About the family: Transfer RNA (tRNA) molecules are approximately 80 nucleotides in length.
Source: RNAcentral